CAAUGUUGGUUUUCAGCCUUGCUGCUUAUGUGCAGAGAUUUAUCCAGAUUCUCUGAAUUUUUUUGAUGGCAUCAUUGACUGUGGAUGAUGAAAUCCCUUAAUUUCUUGCAAUUGUAUAUUAAGAACUGUUGUUCCUAACUGUUGGACUAUUUGUUCAUGCAGUUGUGGUGAACCUUGCCUCAUCCUUGCUUGUGAAUGACUGAGCCUUUCGGGAAUGCUCCUUUUUUUACCCAAUAAUGGCACUUAUCUGUUUCCAAUGUUCCAGACAGGUGUUUUUUGAGCAGUCCUCCUAUGUGCAGAAACGUGUGCCAUCAGAAAUUAAAUUUGAAUUGCUCAGACUAAAUCUUUCUUUGUGUAAUUUUAAAUUAUUCAUGAUGUUUUCACCACAACGAAACCACGUGAGGGCUGACUUGACCGUCAUUUUCGAAGUGGAGGCAUCUGGCCUGACCACAGUACGUUAUACAUACACAUAAUGCUAUUAGUGACAUAGUUUCCAUCUCAAGUAAAUACAGCCACCUUAUAUUUGGGGACUAACACUGUUUAUUUAAUGAUAACUAAUAAUGACAUAAUCAUUUGAAAGUAAUUACCGAAUAACAGUCAAUAGCUAAUAACUACAAUGACAAACCAUUUGCCAAUAAUCAGCAUUUGCUUCGGCAAAAACAGCAGCAGCCAGCGUGGCAGCAUCUUAGGGGCUUUUACUGCUGGUCUGGCACGCUGUUGCACCCUCCGGUGGCGGAAGUACUAUUUCUAGUUGCUACUGCCACGAACUGAGCUUGCUGUCUCUGAGACUCUAAGGACCGACUACGCCAAAAACAAAACCGAAUUAAUCUACUCUUAUGUGUGCCACAAAAUGGGCAAAAUUCCACUCGAUUGCUGUCCAUCUUGGGUAACCAUGAGCGCUCCCGUUAUCACUUCCGUGUCAGCGUCGGAGUUGGGUGAGAGGUGAUCAGGGAGUAGAGAACGUGGACAGCCAAAUACAUGUUCACCGUCUGUGAUCGAGGGAGCUUUAUGUCUGGAAAAAGUCCAUAAUGAAAGAAUUGAGCGUUUGUGGUGGGAUGUCAGGACAUGUGUGACAUCAAAGUAUUACAACGAACUCCAUCUAAUGGAGAAGAUGUGCAUGGAGCAGUGGUGGUUCCUGAAUUUGACUCCCCAAUAACUGAAGACCAGCUGGUGGAAUGUCAGAAUCUCAUCAAUGUCCACCAAGAUCUGGACAGCAGGAGCUUGUACCUCCUGUGUCGCAAAUAUCUGGCUACUUCAAAUGCGUAAUUCAUAAAAUGUUUAGAUUUGAA
Girardinichthys multiradiatus is the source of this 1289-nucleotide long non-coding RNA. RefSeq lists it as uncharacterized. The transcript has 3 exons. The record is from RefSeq and is a predicted model, not a curated record. NCBI's taxonomy places the organism in Eukaryota, Metazoa, Chordata, Actinopteri, Cyprinodontiformes, Goodeidae.